CUGGGUAGCUCAGUUGGUAGAGCACCGGAUUCAUACCCCGGCGGUCGUGGGUUCGACUCCCGCCCC
This 66-nucleotide transfer RNA is filed under the name bovine gut metagenome. It matches the Rfam family "tRNA", at positions 5 to 66 of the family's 71-position model. From Rfam's summary of the family: Transfer RNA (tRNA) molecules are approximately 80 nucleotides in length. Their secondary structure includes four short double-helical elements and three loops (D, anti-codon, and T loops). The record is from RNAcentral.